RNAcentral lists this unclassified non-coding RNA (21 nucleotides) under synthetic construct. RNAcentral's name for it is "RNA (5'-R(*CP*CP*UP*GP*AP*UP*CP*AP*GP*GP*CP*GP*AP*UP*GP*UP*GP*UP*GP*CP*U)-3') from synthetic construct (PDB 6FLQ, chain R)". The record is from RNAcentral.
CCUGAUCAGGCGAUGUGUGCU